GCCUGGGUGGCUCAGUUGGUUAAGCAUCUGACUUCAGCCCAGGUCACGAUCUCGCGGUUUGUGGGUUCAAGCCCCACAUCAGGUU
RNAcentral lists this transfer RNA (85 nucleotides) under Felis catus (domestic cat). It matches the Rfam family "tRNA". From Rfam's summary of the family: Transfer RNA (tRNA) molecules are approximately 80 nucleotides in length. Their secondary structure includes four short double-helical elements and three loops (D, anti-codon, and T loops). Further hydrogen bonds mediate the characteristic L-shaped molecular structure. tRNAs have two regions of fundamental functional importance: the anti-codon, which is responsible for specific mRNA codon recognition, and the 3' end, to which the tRNAs corresponding amino acid is attached (by aminoacyl-tRNA synthetases). tRNAs cope with the degeneracy of the genetic code in two manners: having more than one tRNA (with a specific anti-codon) for a particular amino acid; and 'wobble' base-pairing, i.e. permitting non-standard base-pairing at the 3rd anti-codon position. The record is from Rfam by way of RNAcentral. Lineage: Eukaryota; Metazoa; Chordata; Mammalia; Carnivora; Felidae.